UGCGUAGGUGGCAAGCGUUGUUCGGAAUUAUUGGGCGUAAAGGGCGCGUAGGCGGUUUGUUAAGUCGGUCGUGAAAGCCCGGGGCUCAACCCCGGAGGGUCGACCGAUACUGGCAGACUAGAGUACAGAAGAGGUAACUGGAAUUCCCGGUGUAGCGGUGAAAUGCGUAGAUAUCAGGAGGAACACCAAUUGCGAAGGCAGCUCGCUGGGACGUCACUGACGCUGAGACGCGAAAGCGUGGGGAGCAAACAGG
RNAcentral lists this ribosomal RNA (253 nucleotides) under uncultured bacterium. Its description in RNAcentral is "partial 16S ribosomal RNA". It matches the Rfam family "Bacterial small subunit ribosomal RNA", at positions 524 to 776 of the family's 1533-position model. The record is from RNAcentral.